Molecule: ribosomal RNA, 253 nt
Filed under: uncultured bacterium
Lineage: Bacteria
Description: partial 16S ribosomal RNA
Rfam family: Bacterial small subunit ribosomal RNA
Source: RNAcentral
UACGUAGGGUGCAAGCGUUGUCCGGAAUUAUUGGGCGUAAAGAGCUCGUAGGCGGUUUGUCGCGUCUGCUGUGAAAACUCAGGGCUUAACUCUGAGCUUGCAGUGGGUACGGGCAGACUAGAGUGCGGUAGGGGAGACUGGAAUUCCUGGUGUAGCGGUGAAAUGCGCAGAUAUCAGGAGGAACACCGGUGGCGAAGGCGGGUCUCUGGGCCGUAACUGACGCUGAGGCGCGAAAGCGUGGGGAGCAAACAGG